RNAcentral lists this ribosomal RNA (1269 nucleotides) under Lactobacillus sp. RNAcentral describes it as "bacterial SSU rRNA". It matches the Rfam family "Bacterial small subunit ribosomal RNA", at positions 47 to 1306 of the family's 1533-position model. Lineage: Bacteria; Bacillati; Bacillota; Bacilli; Lactobacillales; Lactobacillaceae. The record is from RNAcentral.
CUGAUUGAACGUGCUUGCACGGACUUGACGUUGGUUUACCAGCGAGUGGCGGACGGGUGAGUAACACGUAGGUAACCUGCCCCAAAGCGGGGGAUAACAUUUGGAAACAGAUGCUAAUACCGCAUAACAAUUUGAAUCGCAUGAUUCAAAUUUAAAAGAUGGCUUCGGCUAUCACUUUGGGAUGGACCUGCGGCGCAUUAGCUUGUUGGUAGGGUAACGGCCUACCAAGGCUGUGAUGCGUAGCCGAGUUGAGAGACUGAUCGGCCACAAUGGAACUGAGACACGGUCCAUACUCCUACGGGAGGCAGCAGUAGGGAAUCUUCCACAAUGGGCGCAAGCCUGAUGGAGCAACACCGCGUGAGUGAAGAAGGGUUUCGGCUCGUAAAGCUCUGUUGUUAGAGAAGAACGUGCGUGAGAGCAACUGUUCACGCAGUGACGGUAUCUAACCAGAAAGUCACGGCUAACUACGUGCCAGCAGCCGCGGUAAUACGUAGGUGGCAAGCGUUAUCCGGAUUUAUUGGGCGUAAAGCGAGCGCAGGCGGUUUGAUAAGUCUGAUGUGAAAGCCUUUGGCUUAACCAAAGAAGUGCAUCGGAAACUGUCAGACUUGAGUGCAGAAGAGGACAGUGGAACUCCAUGUGUAGCGGUGGAAUGCGUAGAUAUAUGGAAGAACACCAGUGGCGAAGGCGGCUGUCUGGUCUGCAACUGACGCUGAGGCUCGAAAGCAUGGGUAGCGAACAGGAUUAGAUACCCUGGUAGUCCAUGCCGUAAACGAUGAGUGCUAGGUGUUGGAGGGUUUCCGCCCUUCAGUGCCGCAGCUAACGCAUUAAGCACUCCGCCUGGGGAGUACGACCGCAAGGUUGAAACUCAAAGGAAUUGACGGGGGCCCGCACAAGCGGUGGAGCAUGUGGUUUAAUUCGAAGCUACGCGAAGAACCUUACCAGGUCUUGACAUCUUGCGCCAACCCUAGAGAUAGGGCGUUUCCUUCGGGAACGCAAUGACAGGUGGUGCAUGGUCGUCGUCAGCUCGUGUCGUGAGAUGUUGGGUUAAGUCCCGCAACGAGCGCAACCCUUGUUACUAGUUGCCAGCAUUCAGUUGGGCACUCUAGUGAGACUGCCGGUGACAAACCGGAGGAAGGUGGGGACGACGUCAGAUCAUCAUGCCCCUUAUGACCUGGGCUACACACGUGCUACAAUGGACGGUACAACGAGUCGCGAACUCGCGAGGGCAAGCUAAUCUCUUAAAACCGUUCUCAGUUCGGACUGCAGGCU